UGCUAAGGUAGCAUAAUAAAUUGACUUUUAAUUGGGGCCUUGAAUGAAUGGAUUAAUGGAUAAUUUCUGUCUUAGUAAAAUUUAAAUUAAAUUAUUUAAAAGGUGAAAAUUCCUUUAUUUUAUAUAAUAGACGAGAAGACCCUAGGAGUUUAAUUUUUUUGUUGGGGCGACAAUAUAACAUAUAACUUAUAUAUUUAUAAUUAUUUUAUAAAACAAAUUAUUUUAAUAUUAAUAAAACUACCCUAGGGAUAACAGCAUAAUUUUUUAAAAGUUUGUGACCUCGAUGUUGGACUAGGAACUCUCAAUAUUAACAAUAUUGAUUGACAGUUCUGUUCGA
RNAcentral lists this ribosomal RNA (337 nucleotides) under Fastosarion hannianus. RNAcentral's name for it is "partial 16S large subunit ribosomal RNA". Lineage: Eukaryota; Metazoa; Mollusca; Gastropoda; Stylommatophora; Helicarionidae. The record is from RNAcentral.